RNAcentral lists this unclassified non-coding RNA (168 nucleotides) under uncultured fungus. RNAcentral's name for it is "sequence contains ITS1". The record is from RNAcentral. Lineage: Eukaryota; Fungi.
GUGCUACGGUUGGGCAUGUGCCCUCGGACGUCGCGUUUGAGGGUUCGUCCCCUGGCGGGCCGCUAGGGCGCCGCCGAGGCAGGGAGGGGUUCUGGCACGGGGUGUGAGGCGGGGCCCGGAGGCCCGCGGCGCUCUGUAAUGAUCCCUCCGCAGGUUCACCUACGGAGA